GACGAACGCUGGCGGCGUGCUUAACACAUGCAAGUCGAACGGAAGGGCCCUGCUUGCAGGGUACUCGAGUGGCGAACGGGUGAGUAACACGUGGGUGAUCUGCCCUGCACUUCGGGUUAAGCUUGGGAAACUGGGUCUAAUACCGGAUAGGAGCCAUCUUUGGUGUGGUGGUUGGAAAGUUUUUUCGGUGUAGGAUGAGCUCGCGGCCUAUCAGCUUGUUGGUGGGGUAAUGGCCUACCAAGGCGGCGACGGGUAGCCGGCCUGAGAGGGUGUACGGCCACAUUGGGACUGAGAUACGGCCCAGACUCCUACGGGAGGCAGCAGUGGGGAAUAUUGCACAAUGGGCGCAAGCCUGAUGCAGCGACGCCGCGUGGGGGAUGAAGGCCUUCGGGUUGUAAACUCCUUUCGCUAGGGACGAAGCUUUUUGUGACGGUACCUAGAUAAGAAGCACCGGCUAACUACGUG
Molecule: ribosomal RNA, 465 nt
Filed under: uncultured bacterium
Lineage: Bacteria
Description: partial 16S ribosomal RNA
Rfam family: Bacterial small subunit ribosomal RNA
Source: RNAcentral